CUCAAAUCUGCUAAAAUAAAAAUACUACUUUCAAUAAGAACUAAAUUCAGAAAGCUGUUUAAGCCCUUGCUUAGCUCUGGCACAUGCUUACCAUUUGUUGCACGGGUACUUAAUUCACUCUCACUUAAUGUGUCAUUCUGGAAUAGAGACAUUUCUCAGAUUCGAAGUUGAACUACUGCGAAGUUUAGCCUCUGAGGUGAAUGUUUUGGAAGGUUAAUAGCCUGUGGAAAUAGAGGAGCCCUAUGUUAUGUUUAGUACUCACUUUGGCUGAAAGAUGAAAUAGACUCUCUUCACCCAGCCGCUAAAAUGCAGCCACCUGUGGGGAGUAAUGUGCCAGCUCUUUAGUGCAACAGUGCAAAACCAUUUAAGAGAGAAGUGAAGCGUUAUGCCUCAGUCCAAAGGGAGUGUUUGCCAUUGUUGUUACUGAACAGCACGACAUUUUUUUUCUGGGUGGAAGGCACUGUCUGUGUAAUGCUGUAUUUCAAAAGGAUUUGGGUUUGGAUACACAGGAAAUGGGAUCGUGUCAUCAGUUAAUCAAUAACUCAGCGUGAUGGACUGGUCUCCCUACUUAGCACUGGAAGAAACCAGCAGAGGCAAGAACACGGACACAGUGAAUGUUACUUAAUGAGCAGUAACAAAGGGACAUCUAUUUUUUUUUUUUUUUCACCAUUUUAUGGCUAAAAAGAAUACCAUAAUGACUGGAUGGGAUCUACACUGAAACUAAUAACAAAACCAUUAUAAUGAUUUCAGGAUACCUAAUACUUUUCAUUCAUUUCAUAAGUGCAUGCAGCAGUUAAUCAUCACUGAGUCAUUUUGGAACUCCAGUGGACACAUAAUGAUGGGAAGCAGCAAAAUGAGAAGAGGAGCUGGGCCAGAAGCUGGACAGCAUGCCUACCUGAGUUUUGUAGAAGUCAGAGGGAAAUGCUACAGGACACACGUUAAAGACUAUGAGAACUCUGGUAGCUCAGCAUACUUUGUUUUAGCUCUGACCAGCAACCAGGGAGAACACGUCCAUAUCUAA
Molecule: long non-coding RNA, 1021 nt
Filed under: Anas platyrhynchos platyrhynchos (common mallard)
Lineage: Eukaryota; Metazoa; Chordata; Aves; Anseriformes; Anatidae
Description: lncRNA (ENSAPLG00000017867.1)
Source: RNAcentral